AGUGAACGCUGGCGGUAGGCCUAACACAUGCAAGUCGAACGGCAGCACAGUAAGAGCUUGCUCUUACGGGUGGCGAGUGGCGGACGGGUGAGGAAUACAUCGGAAUCUACUUUUUCGUGGGGGAUAACGUAGGGAAACUUACGCUAAUACCGCAUACGACCUACGGGUGAAAGCAGGGGAUCUUCGGACCUUGCGCGAUUGAAUGAGCCGAUGUCGGAUUAGCUAGUUGGCGGGGUAAAGGCCCACCAAGGCGACGAUCCGUAGCUGGUCUGAGAGGAUGAUCAGCCACACUGGAACUGGGACACCGUCCAGACUCCUACGGGAGGCAGCAGUGGGGAAUAUUGGACAAUGGGCGCAAGCCUGAUCCAGCCAUACCGCGUGGGUGAAGAAGGCCUUCGGGUUGUAAAGCCCUUUUGUUGGGAAAGAAAAGCAGCAGGUUAAUACCCCGCUGUUCUGACGGUACCCAAAGAAUAAGCACCGGCUAACUUCGUG
This 492-nucleotide ribosomal RNA is filed under the name uncultured bacterium. Its description in RNAcentral is "partial 16S ribosomal RNA". It matches the Rfam family "Bacterial small subunit ribosomal RNA", at positions 29 to 507 of the family's 1533-position model. The record is from RNAcentral.